This 497-nucleotide ribosomal RNA is filed under the name uncultured bacterium. RNAcentral describes it as "bacterial SSU rRNA". It matches the Rfam family "Bacterial small subunit ribosomal RNA", at positions 29 to 507 of the family's 1533-position model. The record is from RNAcentral.
AACGAACGUUAGCGGCGCGCUUAACACAUGCAAGUCGAACGAGAAAGGGCUUCGGCCCCGGUACAGUGGCGCACGGGUGAGUAACACGUGGUAAUCUACCUCGAGCGGGGAUAACGUUCCGAAAGGAGCGCUAAUACCGCAUAAGACCACGCUCUCGAAAGGGAGCGAGGUAAAAGUAGGCCUCUGAAUUCACGCUUACACUCGAGGAUGAGCCCGCGGCCCAUCAUGGUAGUUGGUAGGGUAAUGGCCUACCAAGCCGAAGACGGGUAGCUGGUCUUAGAGGAUGAUCAGCCACACUGGAACUGAGACACGGUCCAGACUCCUACGGGAGGCAGCAGUGGGGAAUCUUGCGCAAUGGGCGAAAGCCUGACGCAGCGACGCCGCGUGGGUGAUGAAGGCCUUCGGGUCGUAAAGCUCUGUGGGGAGAGACGAAUAAGACGUGGCUAAUAUCCACGGCGAUGACGGUAUCUCCUUAGCAAGCACCGGCUAACUCUGUG